Long non-coding RNA from Gallus gallus (chicken), 3179 nucleotides. Lineage: Eukaryota; Metazoa; Chordata; Aves; Galliformes; Phasianidae. The record is from Ensembl.
AUUCUUUCUGUUCUUUCCGUACUUUCCGUUCUUUUAGUUGUUGUUUUUGAACUGUCACCUAAUUUUUUGCCUUAUGUUUCUGUCUCUGUGGAGGUUCUUUCCGUUCUUUCCGUUCUUUCCGUUGUUGUUUUUGAACUCUCACCUAAUUUUCUGCCCUAUGUUUCUGUCUCUGUGGAGGUUCUUUCCGUUCUUUCUGUUGUUGUUUUUGAAGUGUCACCUAAUUUUGUGCCCUAUGUUUCUGUCUCUGUGGAGGUUCUUUCCGUUCUUUACGUUCUUUCUGUUGUUGUUUUUGAACUGUCACCUAAUUUUCUGCUCUAUGUUUCUGUCUCUGUGGAGGUUCUUUCCGUUCUUUCCGUUCUUUCCGUUCUUUCCGUUCUUUCCGUUCUUUCCGUUCUUUCCGUUCUUUCCGUUCUUUCCGUUCUUUCUGUUGUUGUAUUUGAACUGUCACCUAAUUUUCUGCUCUAUGUUUCUGUCUCUGUGGAGGUACUUUCCGUUCUUUCCGUUCUUUCUGUUGUUGUUUUUGAACUGUCACCUAAUUUUCUGCCCUAAGUUUCUGUCUCUGUGGAGGUACUUUCCGUUCUCUCCGUUCUCUCCGUUCUCUCCGUUCCUUUUGUUGUUUUUGAACUGUCUCCUAAUUUUCUGCCCUAUGUUUCUGUCUCUGUGGAGUUUCUUUCCGUUCUUUCCGUUCUGUCCGUUCUUUCCGUUGUUUCCGUUCUUUCCGUUCUUUUUGUUGUUUUUGAACUGUCACCUAAUUUUCUGCCCUAUGUUUCUGUCUCUGUGGAGGUUCUUUCCGUUCUUUCCGUUCUUUCCGUUGUUGUUUUUGAACUGUCACCUAAUUUUCUGCACUAUGUUUCUGUCUCUGUGGAGGUUCUUUCCGUUCUUUCCGUUCUUUCCGUUCUUUCCGUUCUUUCCAUUCUUUCUGCAGUUGUUUUUGAACAGUCACCUAAUUUUCUGCCCUAUGUUUCUGUCUCUCUGGAGGUUCUUUCCGUUCUUUCCGUUCUUUCUGUUGAUGUUUUUGAACUGUCACCUAAUUUUCUGCCCUAUGUUUCUGUCUCUGUGGAGGUUCUUUCCGUUCUUUCCGUUCUUUCCGUUCUUUCCGUUCUUUCUGUUGUUGUUUUUGACCUGUCACCUAAUUUUCUGCCCUAUGUUUCUGUCUCUGUGGAGGUUCUUUCCGUUCUUUCCUUUCUUUCUGUAGUUGUUUUUGAACUGUCACCUAAUUUUCUGCCCUAUGUUUCUCUCUCUGUGGAGGUUCUUUCCGUUCUUUCCGUUCUUUCCGUUCUGUCCGUUCUUUCCGUUCUUUCCGUUUUUUUGAACUGUCACCUAGUGUUCUGCCCUAUGUUUCUGUCUCUGUGGAGGUUCUUUCCGUUCUUUCCGUUCUUUCCAUUCUUUCUGCAGUUGUUUUUGAACAGUCACCUAAUUUUCUGCCCUAUGUUUCUGUCUCUGUGGAGGUUCUUUCCGUUCUUUCCGUUCUUUCUGUUGAUGUUUUUGAACUGUCACCUAAUUUUCUGCCCUAUGUUUCUGUCUCUGUGGAGGUUCUUUCCGUUCUUUCCGUUCUUUCUGUUGUUGUUUUUGAACUGUCACCUAAUUUUCUGCCCUAUGUUUCUGUCUCUGUGGAGGUUCUUUCCGUUCUUUCCGUUCUUUCCGUUCUUUUUGUUGUUUUUGAACUGUCACCUAAUUUUCUGCCCUAUGUUUCUGUCUCUGUGGAGGUUCUUUCCGUUCUUUCCGUUCUUUCCAUUCUUUUUGUUGAUUUUGAACUGUCACCUAAUUUUCUGCCCUAUGUUUCUGUCUCUGUGGAGGUUCUUUCCGUUCUUUCCGUUCUUUCCGUUCUUUCCGUCCUUUCUGUUGUUGUUUUUCAACUGUCACCUAAUUUUCUGCCCUAUGUUUCUGUCUCUGUGGAGGUUUUCCGUUCUUUCCGUUCUUUCUGUUCUUUUUCAACUGUAACCUAAUUUUCUGCCCUAUGUUUCUGUCUCUGUGGAGGUUCUUUCCGUUCUUUCCUUUCUGCCCGUUCUUUCCGUACUUUUUGUUGUUUUUGAACUGUCACCUAAUUUUCUGCCCUAUGUUUCUGUCUCUGUGGAGGUUCUUUCCGUUCUUUCCGUUCUUUCCGUUCUUUCCGUUCUUUCCGUUCUUUCCGUUGUUGUUUUUGAACUGUCACCUAAUUUUCUGCCCUAUGUUUCUGUGUCUGUGGAGGUUCUUUCCGUUCUUUCCGUUCUUUCUGUUGUUCUUUUUCAACUGUCACCUAAUUUUCUCCCCUAUGUUUCUGUCUCUGUGGAGGUUCUUUCCGUUCUUUCCGUUCUUUCCGUUCUUUCCAUUCUUUUUGUUGAUUUUGAACUGUCACCUAAUUUUCUGCCCUAUGUUUCUGUCUCUGUGGAGGUUCUUUCCGUUCUUUCCGUUCUUUCCGGUCUUUCCGUUCUUUCCGUUCUUUCCGUUCUUUCUGUUGUUGUUUUUGAACUGUCACCUAAUUUUCUGCCCUAUGUUUCUGUCUCUGUGGAGGUUCUUUCCGUUCUUUCCGUUCUUUCCGUUCUUUCCGUUCUUUCUGUUGUUGUUUUUCAACUGUCACCUAAUUUUCUGCCCUAUGUUUCUGUCUCUGUGGAGGUUUUCCGUUCUUUCCGUUCUUUCUGUUCUUUUUCAACUGUAACCUAAUUUUCUGCCCUAUGUUUCUGUCUCUGUGGAGGUUCUUUCCGUUCUUUCCGUUCUGCCCGUUCUUUCCGUUCUUUUUGUUGUUUUUGAACUGUCACCUAAUUUUCUGCCCUAUGUUUCUGUCUCUGUGGAGGUUCUUUCCGUUCUUUCCGUUCUUUCGGUUCUUUCCGUUCUUUCUGUUGUUGUUUUUGAACUGUCACCCAAUUUUCUGCCCUAUGUUUCUGUCUCUGUGGAGGUUCUUUCCGUUCGUUCCGAACUGUCACCUAAUUUUCUGCCCCAUGUUUCUGUCUCUGUGGAGGUUCUUUCCGUUCUUUCCGUUCUUUCCGUUCUUUUUGUUGUUUUUGAACUGUCACCUAAUUUUCUGCCCUGUGUUUCUGCCUCUGUGGAGGUUCUUUCUGUUCUUUCCGUUGUUUCCGUUGUUGGUCUUGACCUGUCACCUAAUUUUCUGCUCUAUGUUUCUGUCUCUGUGGAGGUUCUUUCCGUUCUUUCCGUUCUUUCCGUUCUUUCAGUUUUUGUUUUUGAACUGUCACCUAAUUUUUUGC